UACGAAGGGGGCUAGCGUUGUUCGGAAUUACUGGGCGUAAAGCGCACGUAGGCGGAUCGAUCAGUCAGGGGUGAAAUCCCAGGGCUCAACCCUGGAACUGCCUUUGAUACUGUCGAUCUGGAAUAUGGAAGAGGUGAGUGGAAUUCCGAGUGUAGAGGUGAAAUUCGUAGAUAUUCGGAGGAACACCAGUGGCGAAGGCGGCUCACUGGUCCAUUACUGACGCUGAGGUGCGAAAGCGUGGGGAGCAAACAGG
RNAcentral lists this ribosomal RNA (253 nucleotides) under uncultured bacterium. Its description in RNAcentral is "partial 16S ribosomal RNA". It matches the Rfam family "Bacterial small subunit ribosomal RNA", at positions 524 to 776 of the family's 1533-position model. The record is from RNAcentral.